This 76-nucleotide transfer RNA is filed under the name Candidatus Saccharimonadota bacterium. RNAcentral describes it as "tRNA-Arg". It matches the Rfam family "tRNA". Rfam says of the family: Transfer RNA (tRNA) molecules are approximately 80 nucleotides in length. Their secondary structure includes four short double-helical elements and three loops (D, anti-codon, and T loops). Lineage: Bacteria; Candidatus Saccharimonadota. The record is from RNAcentral. RNAcentral also lists the same sequence under 1 other name.
GCCCGUGUAGCUCAGCGGAUAGAGCAGUGGUUUUCUAAACCAUUGGUCGGGAGUUCGAUUCUCUCCACGGGUACCA